AUUGAACGCUGGCGGCAGGCCUAACACAUGCAAGUCGAACGGUAACAGGAAACAGCUUGCUGUUUCGCUGACGAGUGGCGGACGGGUGAGUAAUGUCUGGGAAACUGCCUGAUGGAGGGGGAUAACUACUGGAAACGGUAGCUAAUACCGCAUAACGUCGCAAGACCAAAGAGGGGGACCUUCGGGCCCCUUGCCAUCAGAUGUGCCCAGGUGGGAUUAGCGAGGAGGUGGGGUAACGGCUCACCUAGGCGACGCUCCCUAGCUGGUCUGAGAGGAUGACCAGGCCCACUGGAACGGAGGCACGGGCCAGACGCCGAAGGGAGGGAGGAGUGGGGAAUAUUGGACAAUGGGCGCAAGCCUGAUGCAGCCAUGCCGCGUGUAUGAAGAAGGCCUUCGGGUUGUAAAGUACUUUCAGCGGGGAGGAAGGGAGUAAAGUUAAUACCUUUGCUCAUUGACGUUACCCGCAGAAGAAGCACCGGCUAACUCCGUG
RNAcentral lists this ribosomal RNA (490 nucleotides) under uncultured bacterium. RNAcentral describes it as "partial 16S ribosomal RNA". It matches the Rfam family "Bacterial small subunit ribosomal RNA", at positions 29 to 507 of the family's 1533-position model. The record is from RNAcentral.